Molecule: long non-coding RNA, 1117 nt
Filed under: Felis catus (domestic cat)
Lineage: Eukaryota; Metazoa; Chordata; Mammalia; Carnivora; Felidae
Description: lncRNA (ENSFCAG00000044706.2)
Source: RNAcentral
AGGGCGGCAUGGCGGGUGUGGGCCAAGUGGACUUUAACAUGGGUGGGGUCCAUGUCCAGAGGUUUGAUAUUACUCACUUAAAUGAUAUUAAACUGGAAGUAGGGUUUGGAAAAUUGGGAGGGGAGGCUGGGAAGGGAGAGAGAGCAUAAGAAUGCAGACUCCAGAAAAUAGAGGCACAGCCCUGAAUCCGUGCACUUGACUUCAAAUAGGUUCCGUUUAUAAAGAACAUGCACUGAUGCUUUAUGUGCCCGAGUCACAGGCUCAGUCACUCAACAAAUAUUUACUGAGCACCAAUUUAGGGUCGGGCUCUGUUCCAAGGACUAGAGAACAAGACAGAUGGAAUCUGGGGGAAGCUUACAUUCUAGUGAAGGGAGACAGAUCACAAAAAAGUAAAGAAAUAACGGGAUCAAGUGAUAGACUGGAGAAGGAGAAACUUGAGCUGACAUCCGAGUGUCAGGAAGGAACCAACUGUGGGAAAUGCUGGUAAAGACAACGCAGGAAGGGAGAAGGGACAGAAACGGGUUUUUCCCUUUGCCUUUUCCCACCAGUGCCGCAGACACCAAUAUCUGUAGCAAGAGCAACUCCUGGCACCUCACCAGAGCUUUCCCGACCCUGGACAUCAUUCCUUCUCAGGGUUUCUUCCAAUUGGAGAGUCAGAGAGCCAAGUUGGUCCAGGUGCCUGGCAUUCCUCUCCUGCUCCGAGAUUCCCAUACCAACCUAAAAUGCCAUCAGAACACCAGCCUCGAAUUCACCAGAAUGUCAACACACUUCCAAUCGAUGCUGUGAAAUCUGCAGACAUCUUUGUGCCAGGAGACCUGAAGGAUGUCUGUUUCUCGUGAUUCGCCUCCGUGGUGUUUAUACCAUUGAGAAAAUUAGCUGUAGCCAAGUUUCACUGGGCAGGAUCUAAACAAAUUAAUUCCUUGCAACCCUGGUCAGUUUCUUCCUGCCUGUAUCUAUGUUUCCCUCAAAUGUAAAAGGGAUUUACAGCCCAGGAAAAAUCUCUGUGAUAGAUGCAAUCUGGGAAAGGUGGAUAUACCCUAUGACAUAGAAAGACAGAAUGGAAGACUGUGGUUCGCAAAAUGACCGUAAAAGCUAAAUAAAUAUCCCCGGUCUAACA